This 87-nucleotide transfer RNA is filed under the name Gemmatimonadaceae bacterium. RNAcentral describes it as "tRNA-Ser". It matches the Rfam family "tRNA". Rfam says of the family: Transfer RNA (tRNA) molecules are approximately 80 nucleotides in length. Lineage: Bacteria; Pseudomonadati; Gemmatimonadota; Gemmatimonadia; Gemmatimonadales; Gemmatimonadaceae. The record is from RNAcentral.
GGACGGGUGUCCGAGCGGUUGAAGGAACCGGUCUCGAAAACCGGCGUGCCGGAAACGGUACCGUGGGUUCGAAUCCCACCCUGUCCG